CUUUAGGUACUUGCAAAGACUUAUAUUUCUUACACUUGUGGGGUAUGUCUUUCUCAGAUUUCUUAAGUGUCCAUAUAUAAAAAGGCAAGAGGUAGAUAAAACCCAAUAGGGGAGUAUGUCAAUAAUUCAAUUCAGUUGAUAUAAUAGCGGUGUUACACUUACAUUUAUUAGAGCUAUGGCCAGCUCUAGUUUAUAAUGCGUACACUGGUACAAUUCCCACUUGUAGGAUAU
This is a non-coding RNA of Pelobates cultripes (western spadefoot toad), 231 nucleotides long. NCBI's taxonomy places the organism in Eukaryota, Metazoa, Chordata, Amphibia, Anura, Pelobatidae. The record is from the annotation of a GenBank genome assembly.